RNAcentral lists this ribosomal RNA (465 nucleotides) under uncultured bacterium. RNAcentral's name for it is "partial 16S ribosomal RNA". It matches the Rfam family "Bacterial small subunit ribosomal RNA", at positions 28 to 507 of the family's 1533-position model. The record is from RNAcentral.
GAUGAACGCUGGCGGCGUGCUUAACACAUGCAAGUCGAAUGGAAAGGCUCCUGCUUGCAGGGGUACUCGAGUGGCGAACGGGUGAGUAACACGUGGGUGAUCUGCCCUGCACUUCGGGAUAAGCCUGGGAAACUGGGUCUAAUACCGGAUAGGACGAUGGUUUGGAUGCCAUUGUGGAAAGUUUUUCGGUGUGGGAUGAGCUCGCGGCCUAUCAGCUUGUUGGUGGGGUAAUGGCCUACCAAGGCGUCGACGGGUAGCCGGCCUGAGAGGGUGUACGGCCACAUUGGGACUGAGAUACGGCCCAGACUCCUACGGGAGGCAGCAGUGGGGAAUAUUGCACAAUGGGCGCAAGCCUGAUGCAGCGACGCCGCGUGGGGGAUGACGGCCUUCGGGUUGUAAACUCCUUUCGCUAGGGACGAAGCGCAAGUGACGGUACCUGGAGAAGAAGCACCGGCUAACUACGUG